Corapipo altera (White-ruffed manakin) is the source of this 3056-nucleotide long non-coding RNA. RefSeq lists it as uncharacterized. The transcript is spliced from 4 exons. The record is from RefSeq and is a predicted model, not a curated record. NCBI's taxonomy places the organism in Eukaryota, Metazoa, Chordata, Aves, Passeriformes, Pipridae.
GUAUUUCUUUAGACUCCUGCAGCAGCAUUGCCACAGCUCAGGGAAAGGAUGUGGCUUCAUCAUGAGGAUUGCAACACAAAAUGUAAAUUCAACUAGCGCUAGGCUUAUGGAUUUGGGCUGGCAUAUUUGCUACAGCAGAACUCACCAAUAUCUCUGAUGUUACAAGAAUAUAACAAAAACACUGAGAACUGAGGUGGAGGUGGAGCAGCAUUUAUCUCUAAAAAAAAAAGUUUUCAAGGAACCUUGUACCAGAGGAGGGGAGCCUGCCUAUUGACGUGCCUGCAUUGGAGGACUGGAAGUAGAGACAACUUCUAGGGCAAAUAAACCCAGAAAGCUUCAAUUGGAGAGCAUGGAGACUGUUAGACCAUAGACUUUUACUGAUGAAUAGUGUUUUGCCAUAGACUAUGUACUGUUGGACCCCUGCAUUUUUACGGGGACUUUCUGUUGGGAUUUCGAAAUGUUACUCUGAAGCCCUGGGAAAAAUAACUGCUCCAAGACUCAAUAUUUCUGAAUCAUUCAGUUACGAUGUUGUUUUUAAGAAUUGUACAUGGAAUGUACAAUCUCCCCACUCAGCCUUGGGCACAAAAAUUCAUGAUGAGUUUGGAAUGGUGUUUGUUGUAUUUGAAAAAGAAAUUUCACUGCACUGAUUUCCUUCAUUAUUAGUGAUUCAAUACUAAGAAUAGAAAUCUAUUAUUCUUAUUACUCCAUGUUCGUGUUCCUCACUGGAGUUUAUGUAAACAGGUCCCCAUGUAUAUGUGUAGAAACCUAUUGAAUUCUGUGUGAACUAAGUGCUGGGAUGUAUUUUUUCCUGCAAAUGCAAUUUGCUUGAAAGGGCAAGAUGCUGACUUUGACUUUCACAUAUAAAUCUCAUUUCCCAUUUUGUAUAUGUUCAUGUUAUUCUCAGAUUCUUUCACCCUUUCAGCAUCAGUGCCCAGUUCCGGGCUCCUCUUUGGAUCCUAAACAAGAUAGGAUUUCCGUUCAGUAUGUAAGAUACAUCUACUCCUUAAUGUUUGGGUGUUUGCUAAGCACAAAACUAAUCUUUUAUAUUUACUAAAUGAUUUGCAUGAGAACUUUACUUUCCUUAUUUUUUUUCCUGUGGUUUUUGUUGUCUGUUUAGUUUUGAGUGUUUUUUGUAGGCAGAAUGAGAAUUAAGAAAAUUUCCGUGAUUUAAUUUUCAUCACUUGUUGGCAAAAAAAAAUGCACAGUGUAUAUUCUUUCUGUGAAAUUAAUCUCUCAGAAAAAUUCUCACCUGGUGUAUCUUUGUGGACCAGGCAUCAAAAGGAUUCGCCAGGCAGGUUCAUGGCACUGUCUGUCAGGCUCAUCAAAAUUAUUACUGCUUUGCCCAGUACAUGGGCCUACUACCUUGAUGCUUUGAAAGUGUGGGCUUCUUGAUGGAAUGGGUCAUCCAUGGAAAGAAGAGCAACCAUGAUGCUCUGAGAAUGUCAGAUGGACCUACAACCUUCAGAUAAACAUAGAACCAUACACUGGUUUGAGGUGGAAGGAACCUUAAAGACUAUGUUGUUCCAGCUUCUCUGCCAUGGGUAAGGACAUCUUCUACUAGACCAGGUUGCUCAAAGCCUCAUCCAACCUGACCUGGAACACUUACAGGAAUGGGACAAAUGUGUCCUCUGUGUGCUCAAGGACAUAUAGAAAAACAUCAGCAGUACCCUAAAUUUGGGCAUUGCUACUACAGGUAGCUUACAGGUAGCUUACAGGUAGCUGGCCUCCUGGCAGCAGCACUUUGUUGACUCCUGUUGGCAAGCAAGGAGUGCAAAGAGGAGCAUGUCUGGUUGAAUUUCCUUGUUACUUUGGUGUGCCUCAGGGUGCUGCUGUGAAAAAGCAAUUCCCUACCAGAACCAAGGAGCAGUUUUGAACUUACAGUUAACAGAAAUCAAAUUACAAAGGUCAAUAUUAAAAGAAAGAGUGCAUAAAAUAUUCAGAAUCAUGAAGAGAAAUGUUUGGGCAGCCAAAUUUGCCUGAUGGAUCUGAGCUUACCUUUGGUGAAUGAUGCUGCCCUGAAAUAGCUGAUAGGGGUGUGCAAGCAGAUACUCAGGCACCGUGUUUUUUUUCUUGGGAGUUUGUUCCGUUGGGUUUUUUUGUUGUUGUUGUGAAGGAGUAGGAGAGAUUUUGGUAAGUAUUUCAUCCCCUGAUCCUAUGCAUGACUAAACUGCUUCUAAUGGAGCUGAUGCACUUCGGGGCCUGCUGUGAGAUGGUAUAGUCCAAUAGAGCAGCAAACACAGCUGGUGAGAAUGACUGUUUAUAGAAAAUUAAGAUAAAUCUAGAACUGUAAGAUUUGUCCUCUAGCAAGGUACUUGAGAUACCUUGUGAGAAAGCAUGGGGAAAUGGUAAAGUGAAAAUGAAGAUGACUGAGGAAACUACACCAGCCUUCCCAGGAAAUGGGAAUGGUCUCUGUGGGUGUCACACAUGUGUCAGUAUCCUUGAAGCAGCCUGCCAUCAUUGAUCAGAUCAAUCUCUAUUCAGAAGAUGCAAAAAACCUUCUGUAAAAUCUAAAAGAGGGAAGUUAACUUUUUUUAUAUUAUAAUGGAUGGGAAAGAUUUUGGGUAAAGGUUGAAAAAAAGCAAUUGUUUCUUGUGUGUGACCUAUGGAAGCAAAAGACUCAGUGGAAGAGUAGAGUCAGAACACAAUACAACAUUCCUUCAUAAAACAGUUUUCUGUACAUUUGAUUAAAUAUAUUUUUAUAUUGCUGAAAUACACGUUACACUGCUAUAAACCUUACACAGUUGAGAUGUCUGUACUGUUUCACAUUUAUCUUUCCUAAGCUUAUGCUAGACUUUUACCAGUCUUCUGCACAGCAACACUUUUAUUGGGUUGGCUUAAACAGUUCAUAAGGCUUUAUUUAUCACUCAUUUUAUGCUAAAGCAAAGGACCUACUCUCAUUGUUUUGUUUUCCAUUUGUUGGUGUAGCUUCACUAAAAUUGUUACUUGCAUUAGGUUUAUAAAAAGAUUAAGAACUGAACUUCAACUUGUAGGGAAUAAUGUGUGUGUAAUAGUUCAUGUAUCUUCAAUGAAUUUUCUAAAUUUGUUGAAGCACUGAA